GAGUUUGAUCGUGGCUCAGAUUGAACGCUGGCGGCAUGCCUUACACAUGCAAGUCGAACGGCAGCAUGGUCUAGCUUGCUAGAUUGAUGGCGAGUGGCGAACGGGUGAGUAAUACAUCGGAACGUGCCCUGUAGUGGGGGAUAACUAGUCGAAAGAUUAGCUAAUACCGCAUACGACCUGAGGGUGAAAGUGGGGGACCGCAAGGCCUCAUGCUAUAGGAGCGGCCGAUGUCUGAUUAGCUAGUUGGUGGGGUAAAGGCCCACCAAGGCGACGAUCAGUAGCUGGUCUGAGAGGACGAUCAGCCACACUGGGACUGAGACACGGCCCAGACUCCUACGGGAGGCAGCAGUGGGGAAUUUUGGACAAUGGGCGAAAGCCUGAUCCGGCAAUGCCGCGUGUGUGAAGAAGGCCUCGGUUGUAAG
RNAcentral lists this ribosomal RNA (422 nucleotides) under uncultured microorganism. Its description in RNAcentral is "bacterial SSU rRNA". It matches the Rfam family "Bacterial small subunit ribosomal RNA", at positions 9 to 429 of the family's 1533-position model. The record is from RNAcentral.